Molecule: ribosomal RNA, 406 nt
Filed under: uncultured bacterium
Lineage: Bacteria
Description: partial 16S ribosomal RNA
Rfam family: Bacterial small subunit ribosomal RNA
Source: RNAcentral
AUUGAACGCUGGCGGCAGGCUUAACACAUGCAAGUCGAGCGAGCUGCGGACUGGUGAGUAAUGUCUGGGAAACUGCCUGAUGGAGGUGGAUAACUCCUGGAAACGGUCGCUAAUACCGCAUACCAUCAGCGGUGCCCACAGGGGAUUAGCUAGUAGGUGGGGUAAUGGCUCACCUAGGCGACGAUCCCUAGCUGGUCUGAGAGGAUGACCAGCCACACUCGAACUGAGACACGGUCCAGACUCCGACGGUAGGCAGCAGUGGGGAAUAUUGCACAAUGGGCGCAAGCCUGAUGCCGCCAUGCCGCGUGUGUGAAGAAGGCCUUCGGGUUUUAAAGCACUUUCAGCGAGGAGGCGUGACUCGAAGAAGAAGCACCGGCUAACUCCGUGCCAGCAGCCGCGGUAAUAA